GGAAAUAAAGAAGGGAGAACUUUAUCCUUGUUUAGAAGCCAAAAAGCCUGAAAAUGUUCCCAAAAACCGCUACAAAACAACAUAUGCUUACGAUCAUUCCCGUGUUGUUCUGUCAACUGUAUCGAGAGAAUCCAGCUACAUUAAUGCAAAUUUUAUUGAGGAUACACAAGGACAACGGGCGUAUGUUGCUACUCAAGGU
Molecule: long non-coding RNA, 199 nt
Organism: Saccostrea cuccullata (small rock oyster)
Lineage: Eukaryota; Metazoa; Mollusca; Bivalvia; Ostreida; Ostreidae
Exons: 3
Source: RefSeq, a predicted model, not a curated record